This 491-nucleotide ribosomal RNA is filed under the name uncultured bacterium. RNAcentral describes it as "partial 16S ribosomal RNA". It matches the Rfam family "Bacterial small subunit ribosomal RNA", at positions 29 to 506 of the family's 1533-position model. The record is from RNAcentral.
AGUGAACGCUGGCGGUAGGCCUAACACAUGCAAGUCGAACGGCAGCACAGUAAGAGCUUGCUCUUACGGGUGGCGAGUGGCGGACGGGUGAGGAAUACAUCGGAAUCUACUUUUUCGUGGGGGAUAACGUAGGGAAACUUACGCUAAUACCGCAUACGACCUACGGGUGAAAGCAGGGGAUCUUCGGACCUUGCGCGAUUGAAUGAGCCGAUGUCGGAUUAGCUAGUUGGCGGGGUAAAGGCCCACCAAGGCGACGAUCCGUAGCUGGUCUGAGAGGAUGAUCAGCCACACUGGAACUGAGACACGGUCCAGACUCCUACGGGAGGCAGCAGUGGGGAAUAUUGGACAAUGGGCGCAAGCCUGAUCCAGCCAUACCGCGGGGGUGAAGAAGGCCUUCGGGUUGUAAAGCCCUUUCGUUGGGAAAGAAAAGCAGCAGGUUAAUACCCCGCUGUUCUGACGGUACCCAAAGAAUAAGCACCGGCUAACUUCGU